RNA transcript from Centruroides sculpturatus (bark scorpion), 1744 nucleotides. RefSeq lists it as uncharacterized. Lineage: Eukaryota; Metazoa; Arthropoda; Arachnida; Scorpiones; Buthidae. The transcript has 8 exons. The record is from RefSeq and is a predicted model, not a curated record.
UGUUAUUAUUGCAGUGAAACUGUCCAUAAAUGAUGUCCACAUUAGAAGGAGAAGGGGAUUAUAACAAGUGGGACAAAGUCAGACAGGGGAGAGAGUUGGAGUUGAACUUCAAUGGAUUUCCGUUUUAUUUCAUUAAAUUUUAUACAGUUUAUAUAUUUUAUUAUUCCUAAAGUUAGUAAAGAUUUUGAGGGGGAUUGAGCUUUGUUGAAGGUCUGAAUAGGGGAGGGAGAAUAAAAAUUUAAAGAAAAAUGCGGACGUAAUUUAUGGACAGCCCCUAAUAUACCGUACAAUGCUUAAGAAAAAAUGAAAUAUCAAAAGUUACUAAUAUUAUUUGUAUAUUGUAAUUCAUUACAAAUAAAAUGAUUUAAAAUACUGUACAAGUUGAAAAUUUAUUUAAAAAAAAUGCACUAACAAUUAUGAAUAAAGCUAACAAUAAUUUCCGUAAACAAUUAAAAUAUUAUUUGUGAUUUUUCUUUAACAAUAUGGCUUUGAAGGAUGCUUUAAAAUAUUUGGAAGAGAGAGGUCACGUGAUCGUACACGAAGAUUUUUAUCGUCCAAAUACUUCAUCAGAUUCUAGCUUUAAUCCAACUUUUCAGCAGAGAUUUCGUGCUGGUGAACUUCCUGUAAAUCUUAUUCCAUACAGAUCAGACGGUACUUUGCAUUGGGUGACACCUUUAGAAAAGUUGGACACAUUUUAUUUUCUACCAAUAUUUUUCGACGGUUUAAAAGAGGUUCAGUCGCCAUUCGAUAUAAUUGCCAAUGUUGCAAAUGCUAACCGAAGCUGGAAAAAAUGGAAAUAUUCCAUUAGAAAAUAUCAUGAAUCCUUUAUGCUGUGGUCUAUCCAGUAAAAAUUGGGACGUUGUAAUUAAAUCUCUAAUUGCUCUUCAGCAUCUUUACAGCAUCACGACUCUCUCCUUAUAUCCAUUUUAUCCACGAUUCUUUCCAAUUUUGUUACAACUGAAACGAAAAUUAGAUGGUAACAUGAUGCAAGAACUAGUCGCCUUUGAUGAUAUAUACAGUACUGCUACUGUAAUAUUCCAGGAAAUUUUUAAAUGAAAAUUAAAAUUUCCGUUAAAUUACUGCAGGUGGUAAAUACAGAAUCAUGAACUGGAGUACGUCAUGUUGUAUGAGGUAGUACAACAGCUCGGGGGUAAGAGUUAGACCUGGAGGAAUAUCGUCUGAUACGCCCGGAUGGAUCAGACGAAGUGACGGCGUCUGGUUGACCACAGUCCGGUCAUGGUCCAGCAACCUUCUACCAGCUGUCUGUUUGCUAAUUCGAACAGUUCGCUUAGCAGAAACACGAAAUGAAAAUUGAGUUUGAUGGUAGUACAGGAAGCGGGUUUGGUUGCAUUGUAUAUGUGAAGGAGGAAUGGGUGUCCAGUCGGGAUAGAUCUUAUCUCUAUGAUCUAUGCGACCGACCACACUACCUGUGUUGCAUGUCAAUUGGCCUGCAUCAUGGCCUCAUCUUCACCUUAUAAUCUGACAAGGAUUUAUGAUGCAGAUCGAAAAGAACAGUAUCACAGGUUGAAUAAAUGGCUUAUAAUAAUAAUAGAAUGCUUUAUAUAAAAUAAAAAAAGAAUGAAAGUUUGAGAAAAUGGCCACGCUUUGUGAAUUACAUUAACAAUUUUUAUGAACAAGAUAAAGAUCUCAUCAACACAUCUACAAAAGAUGUUUAACUUCGGAUCUUCGCAGUUAUUUAUGUUACAUUUUUUAUGGUAAACAAUAUAUAUUAAAUUUUAUAUAU